This 332-nucleotide ribosomal RNA is filed under the name uncultured Streptococcus sp. Its description in RNAcentral is "bacterial SSU rRNA". It matches the Rfam family "Bacterial small subunit ribosomal RNA", at positions 1045 to 1382 of the family's 1533-position model. Lineage: Bacteria; Bacillati; Bacillota; Bacilli; Lactobacillales; Streptococcaceae. The record is from RNAcentral.
AUGGUUGUCGUCAGCUCGUGUCGUGAGAUGUUGGGUUAAGUCCCGCAACGAGCGCAACCCUAUUGUUAGUUGCCAUCAUUCAGUUGGGCACUCUAGCGAGACUGCCGGUAAUAAACCGGAGGAAGUGGGAUGACGUCAAUCAUCAUGCCCCUUAUGACCUGGGCUACACACGUGCUACAAUGGUUGGUACAACGAGUUGCGAGUCGGUGACGGCGAGCUAAUCUCUUAAAGCCAAUCUCAGUUCGGAUUGUAGGCUGCAACUCGCCUACAUGAAGUCGGAAUCGCUAGUAAUCGCGGAUCAGCACGCCGCGGUGAAUACGUUCCCGGGCCUU